This 2528-nucleotide long non-coding RNA is filed under the name Brassica napus (rape). Its description in RNAcentral is "long non-coding RNA (BNAP_LNC003888)". The record is from RNAcentral. Lineage: Eukaryota; Viridiplantae; Streptophyta; Magnoliopsida; Brassicales; Brassicaceae.
UCCAGUGAAAUCACCACCUCCACCUUACUAUUACUCAUCCCCACCACCACCAAAAUCUUACCCUCCACCAUACCACUACUCAUCUCCUCCACCACCACCAAAGUCGUACUCGCCACCAUACUACUACUCAUCACCACCACCUCCUGUGUCGUACCCUCAUCCUCACCCACACCCACACCCACAUCCACUUGUCUUCAAAGUUGUAGGUAAAGUGUAUUGUUACAGAUGUUAUGACUGGACUUACCCCAAAAAGUCCCACGAUAAGAAGCAUCUCAAAGGUACUUAAGUUUUCCACGUGUUCAAUAAUUAAUGUCUUAAUCUUAACAGGUUUAUUAAUUAUUUAGACAGAAUUGUUAUCUUGAUGAUUAUAGGAUGAUUACAGGCUUAAAGGAUUUAAAAAACUAGCAUAUAUGUAUUGUAAAGUGGUAGUUGCAUACUUGCAUUGCAUGUAGUCUAUAUUAUUUAUUAGUGGAGAAACGCAAACGAUAAAGUCAAGAAAAAGACAAGAAUCUGUUAUUGACUUAUACAAUCCAAUGAGAUCGAACAAGCAAAAUCAAUUUAGUAGAUACCCAACUAAAAGGACAUAAACUGAUAUUUAAAAUUUAAAUAAUUUGAUUUUUUUUUGUCAUAUAGGUGCUGUUGUAGAAGUGACUUGUAAGGCCGGUGACAAGAUAGUGAAGGCAUACGGAAAGACCAAAAUCAACGGUAAAUAUGCAAUCACCGUUAAGGGAUACAACUACCGUAAAUACGGUGGCGAAGUUUGCACGGCCAAGCUUCACGCGCCGCCUAAAGGCUCACCGUGUAACAUUCCUACAAGCUACCAUAUGGGUAACAAAGGUGCAAAGCUUCAUGUGAAAUCAAAGACAAAGUACGAGGUUGUGCUCUAUGCCAAGUCCUUUGCUUAUGCACCUAAGAAACCUUACGGAGAAUGCCACAAACCAGCUCCUUACCAUCCUCCUUACUACUACAAAUCGCCACCACCACCAUCUCCGGUUUACUACUACAAGUCACCACCACCACCGGCUCCAACCUAUGUCUACAAAUCUCCACCACCACCAACUCCGACUUACGUCUACAAGUCGCCGCCUCCUCCAACCCCAACAUAUGUCUACAAAUCGCCUCCUCCUCCUACCCCAACAUACGUAUACAAGUCUCCUCCACCACCAACUCCAACUUACGUAUACAAAUCACCACCACCGCCGACUCCAACUUACGUCUACAAGUCGCCUCCUCCACCUACGCCAACCUAUGUCUAUAAAUCUCCACCGCCACCAACCCCGACUUAUGUUUACAAGUCACCACCACCUCCGACUCCGACAUACAUUUACAAGUCUCCACCACCUCCUACUCCGACUUAUGUCUACAAGUCACCACCUCCACCAACCCCUACAUAUGUCUAUAAGUCACCACCUCCACCCACUCCGACCUACGUCUACAAGUCACCACCACCUCCAACUCACACUCCUACACCAUACUACUACCAUUCUCCACCACCACCAUACUACUAUCAUUCACCACCUCCUCUGGUGAAGUCUCCUCCACCACCAUACUAUUACCAUUCACCACCACCUCCAGUAAAAUCUCCUCCCCCCCCAUACUACUAUCACUCCCCACCUCCUCCAGUGAAGUCUCCUCCGCCACCUUACUAUUAUCACUCCCCACCUCCUCCAGUAAAAUCACCACCACCACCAUAUUAUUACCACUCUCCACCUCCUCCCGUGAAAUCCCCCCCACCUCCAUACUACUACCACUCACCACCCCCUCCGGUAAAAUCACCCCCACCACCAUAUUACUAUCACUCCCCACCUCCACCAGUGAAAUCCCCACCACCACCGUACUACUACCAUUCUCCACCCCCACCGGUAAAAUCUCCGCCACCACCAUACUAUUACCACUCCCCACCUCCUCCGGUGAAAUCUCUACCACCACCGUACUAUUACCAUUCACCACCUCCUCCGGUGAAAUCUCCUCCUCCACCAUACUACUAUCACUCACCUCCUCCACCAGUAAAAUCUCCUCCGCCACCGUACUAUUACCACUCUCCACCUCCUCCAGUGAAGUCACCUCCACCUCCUUAUUACUACCACUCACCUCCUCCUCCGGUGAAAUCCCCACCACCACCAUAUUAUUACCACUCACCACCCCCACCCGUCAAAUCUCCUCCACCUCCAUAUUAUUACCACUCACCACCUCCUCCGGUGAAAUCUCCACCACCACCAUAUUAUUACCACUCACCUCCUCCUCCGGUGAAAUCUCCACCACCACCAUAUUACUACCAUUCACCUCCCCCUCCAGUCAAAUCUCCACCACCACCAUAUUACUACCAUUCACCUCCCCCUCCAGUGAAAUCCCCACCACCACCAUAUUACUACCAUUCACCUCCUCCUCCAGUGAAAUCUCCACCACCACCAUACUACUACAACUCUCCACCACCACCAGUAAAAUCUCCCCCACCUCCCGUCUACAUCUACGCUUCUCCCCCACCUCCUACCCAUUACUAGGCUCGUCAAAUUCAACCAAGUUUCCCC